Jaculus jaculus (lesser Egyptian jerboa) is the source of this 103-nucleotide small nucleolar RNA. The record is from Ensembl. Lineage: Eukaryota; Metazoa; Chordata; Mammalia; Rodentia; Dipodidae.
GUUGUAAAUGAUGAUUUCACUUUUCCCCCAUCAGAUCAACAAUGCUGAUCUUAGAACACUUGCCAGUUUAAAAAAAUAAAAAGAGCCGGGCAUGGUGGUACAC